Molecule: long non-coding RNA, 756 nt
Filed under: Zea mays
Lineage: Eukaryota; Viridiplantae; Streptophyta; Magnoliopsida; Poales; Poaceae
Description: drought responsive lncRNA
Source: RNAcentral
GUGUUUGCAAAGGGGAGCAGUACAGUACAGGAGCACCCUAAACUAAUCCAUGACGUCAAUACGGAGACCCUCUGACCUGUAUACGAGACGAGACUACACAACAGUCUGGAAAAAACAAAACACUCGUGUGCGUCAUUGCAAACGAGCGUGCUUUGACCUGUUUUGAUGUUCACCGCUCUGCUACGUGCCGUGGCUGAACCGGUCGCACGCAGCAGCACUACUCUCGCCAGUCGCUAGAGAGGGGGCAGCACCGCGCUGGUCACUGGAUUUGGAUGCAUGCGUGCUCGCUUGCGUUCGCUGAAACGCAAGGCGUCAUCUGAUCUGGCCGAUCGACCGAUCACGCAGCCCGCAGCCCGCAGCCCGCUAAACUAAACACAGAUGCAUGCACCCAGCUCCAGCGGUCCGUGUAUGGGAUCCGUACGCUGGCCUUUUGUCCCUGGUCCAGCCAGAUGCUGCCUCGGAUGCACAACCAACUAAUCACAGACGCGGACCCGGGAAGGAACACACGUGACGGAUUGGACAGCAAGCAGGCCCCCGGCGCGCACUCGCGUCGCCGUCCGACCAUUUGUUCUGUUGGGUGCAGCGUACCCGUCGCCGAACCGGACAACGGCGAGUGAGCCGCGGCGCACCAUAGAGGGCAUGUUCUUUUACUAAGAGUGUAAAUGUAUACUCCCUUCUAUUAAGACAGCGGGUAAGUUACGAAGAAUCCCCUCAAAAGACUCAUGUUUAGGUGGACGAAAAUUUAGAGUUACUAGG